GUAAUUUCUCCCUAAUAACUACACAGAAAUAAAGAUUCAGUUGGAACAAGAAAAACAUUAGCUGUUGUGGAGUUUCAAGUAAAGCAGUUUUCCAUUCAAUAUCUUGAGGUGGUUGCUGAAUGUCUGUAUCAAAAAUAGUUUUCUGCACAGUGAUACUGUUGAACUACUCUUAUACAUUGACGAAGUAAAUCUAAACAAUACAAUGGUGAUGAUUAGGAUAGAAAAGAUUUCUUCAACUAAGUAAGACUGAGAUGAUCACCCAAAAUGCUUUUCUCUCUUUCGGGGUUUCAUAUAUAUAUAUAUAUAUACAUAUAUAUACACAUGAGUGUGUAUACAAACACACAUAUUAUUUUACUAUUGGAUCCACCAAAGCAAUGAAAGUAUCAGAAAAAGAGAUUUUAAGGUAAGACCACAUAAAAAAAGGAAAAUUAAGUCUACUAGCUCUUUAAGGUGCCACAUUGCCAACUAUGAUCACCAAGGUCUAAAAGACUUAUAACUAGACAGUAAACUCAUAGUUUUGAAGGACAGUGAAAAAAAAGACCUAAAUUUUGCUUAAAAGGCUUGCAGAUUUAAAAUUGUACAGAAGCCAUCUUAAAAACAUUCCAUUUGCCCACAUUGUGACAUCACAUGUCAGUGUAAAGCUAUUGUUAGCAAAUGCUGACUGCUUCAUGAUGAUUCCUUCAUCCUUAUGAAAAGCAUCAAUCAUCUUUCAGGAACAAAAGCUGGUUCCUGCGGACCCAACCAACCACAUGUCCCAGCAGCUCUGAAGCCACCUUCCUUCAGUUGGAACUGCAUCUUUCCUAGAGAGGUUGGAAUAAAGACACAGAACUUACUAAUGAGACUAUAUCUUCCAGGCCAGCAUACCGUUCCAGGCAUUGCUGUGAGGGGUUACGUCUCAAGAGACUCCAGUGCCACUGGGCUGAACACUGACGCAUUCAGCUUUUAGGAUCCUUUCCUGGAAAGGAGACCCCUGCCAUUUGACCUUGCUGAUAUCUUCAGUGCAUGGAGAGACCCAAGAACCUCAGUGCCAGUUGCAGAGCUGGGAACCAUGCAAAUAAGGCUCAUCUCAGUCCAGCUUUCAGUCUUGCAGCUCAAGAGAAAUCUGGAUCAAGCAGAAGUAAUGGAAAUUAUCAGAAGUCUAGCAAACAGCAUGUGAAAAAGAGGGCAAUAAGCACAGUUCCUCAAUCUAGCAGAGAUAAAGACUGAGGGGAAUAACUUCCAGUACUAUUACAGACAAGCAAGCUACAAAGAAAGCAGUAAUACAAUUAUUUUCAC
Molecule: long non-coding RNA, 1275 nt
Organism: Pseudopipra pipra
Lineage: Eukaryota; Metazoa; Chordata; Aves; Passeriformes; Pipridae
Exons: 4
Source: RefSeq, a predicted model, not a curated record